Molecule: ribosomal RNA, 253 nt
Filed under: uncultured bacterium
Lineage: Bacteria
Description: partial 16S ribosomal RNA
Rfam family: Bacterial small subunit ribosomal RNA
Source: RNAcentral
UACGUAGGUGGCAAGCGUUGUCCGGAUUUACUGGGUGUAAAGGGCGUGCAGCCGGGAGUGCAAGUCAGAUGUGAAAUCCCGCGGCUCAACCGCGGAACUGCAUUUGAAACUGUGCUUCUUGAGUGCUGGAGAGGCAGACGGAAUUCCUAGUGUAGCGGUGAAAUGCGUAGAUAUUAGGAGGAACACCGGUGGCGAAAGCGGCUCUCUGGCCUGUAACUGACACUGAGGCUCGAAAGCGUGGGGAGCAAACAGG